This 73-nucleotide transfer RNA is filed under the name Oenococcus sicerae. RNAcentral's name for it is "tRNA-Phe". It matches the Rfam family "tRNA". From Rfam's summary of the family: Transfer RNA (tRNA) molecules are approximately 80 nucleotides in length. Their secondary structure includes four short double-helical elements and three loops (D, anti-codon, and T loops). Lineage: Bacteria; Bacillati; Bacillota; Bacilli; Lactobacillales; Lactobacillaceae. The record is from RNAcentral.
GCCGUGGUAGUUCAGUUGGGAGAGCACGAGUUUGAAGCACUCGGUGUCGUAUGUUCAAUUCAUACCCUUGGCG